This 424-nucleotide ribosomal RNA is filed under the name uncultured bacterium. RNAcentral describes it as "bacterial SSU rRNA". It matches the Rfam family "Bacterial small subunit ribosomal RNA", at positions 358 to 795 of the family's 1533-position model. The record is from RNAcentral.
GGAAUUUUCCGCAAUGGGCGAAAGCCUGGCGGAGCGACGCCGCGUGAUUGAUGAAGCACUUCGGUGUGUAAAGGUCUUUUAUGAGGGAGGAAGUUUAUUGACGUUACCUCAUGAAUAAGGGGCUGCUAAACUCGUGCCAGCAGCAGCGGUAAUACGAGUGCCCCGAGCGUUAUCCGGAAUUACUGGGCGUAAAGGGUCCGUAGGCGGUCGUGUUAGUCUUCUGUUAAAGCUCCUGGCUCAACCGGGAAAACGCAGAGGAAACGGCACGACUAGAGGACGUAAGAGGUCUACAGAACUCACGGUGUAGGGGUGAAAUCCGUUGAUAUCGUGGGGAAUGCCAAAGGCGAAGGCAGUAGACUGGUGCGUUCCUGACGCUGAGGGACGAAAGCCAGGGGAGCAAACAGGAUUAGAUACCCCUGUAGUC